This 253-nucleotide ribosomal RNA is filed under the name uncultured bacterium. Its description in RNAcentral is "partial 16S ribosomal RNA". It matches the Rfam family "Bacterial small subunit ribosomal RNA", at positions 524 to 776 of the family's 1533-position model. The record is from RNAcentral.
UACGGAAGGGGCAAGCGUUGUUCGGAAUCAUUGGGCGUAAAGGGCGCGUAGGUGGUCUUGUAUGUCUACCGUGAAAGCAUACAGCUCAACUGUAUUUUGUCGGUAGAAACUGCAGGACUUGAGGCUGGGAGGGGCUGGUGGAAUUCCCUGUGUAGCGGUGAAAUGCGCAGAUAUCAGGAAGAACACCAAUGGCGAAGGCAGCUCUCUGGGACGGUACUGACGCUGAGACGCGAAAGCGUGGGGAGCGAACAGG